This is a small nuclear RNA of Mustela putorius furo (domestic ferret), 103 nucleotides long. Lineage: Eukaryota; Metazoa; Chordata; Mammalia; Carnivora; Mustelidae. The record is from Ensembl.
CUGCUUUGGCAGCAUAUAUACUAAAAUUGGAAUGAUACGGGGAAGAUUAACACAGUCCCUGUGAAAGGAUGACAUGCAAAUUCAUGAAGCAUUCCAUAUUUUU